GGGGGCGAAUCGGUUUCGACCGGGUAAAUUGACGUGUUCGUCGCGUGUCGUGGUUGGUCAGUUGGCCACGUAAAAAGCUGACCGAACCUAAACUGCUGAACCUCAAUUCAGCAUGGCUGCGUAACAACGCAACCCCGUGCCUGUUGGCUUCGCUUGAAAGCCGGCAGCGCGGACGCCAAGUCGAGCUCGCUGCAGCUUGAGGCCGGUCGCAAGAUCGGUCGCUUCGAAGGCGGCUGUGGCUAAACAACCUGUUCGAUAGCGCUCUCGGCAUCCUGCUUGUCGGAGUCCGGUAGCGCGAACGUGGCGGGAAAGCCGUCAAGCAUCGACAAGAUACACACGUAGAAGCGGGCACCGAAGUGCCACGGGACGCGGGUUCGAUUCCCGCCGCCUCCACUC
This 396-nucleotide transfer-messenger RNA is filed under the name Gemmataceae. RNAcentral describes it as "f Gemmataceae X1 Standard tmRNA". It matches the Rfam family "transfer-messenger RNA". From Rfam's summary of the family: Bacterial tmRNA, also known as 10Sa RNA or SsrA, is named for its dual tRNA and mRNA-like properties. RNAcentral also lists the same sequence under 1 other name. The record is from RNAcentral. Lineage: Bacteria; Pseudomonadati; Planctomycetota; Planctomycetia; Gemmatales.